AAACUGGGAUUAGAUACCCCACUAUGCUUAGCCCUAAACUUAGAUAUUUCACAUACAAAAAUAUCCGCCAGAGAACUACGAGCAUAACGCUUAAAACUCUAAGGACUUGGCGGUACCUCAAACCCCCCUAGAGGAGCCUGUUCUAUAAUCGAUAAUCCACGAUCUACCUCACCAUCUCUUGCCAAACCAGCUUAUAUACCACCGUCACCAGCCUACCCCAUGAGGGCCACAAAAGUAAGCAAAAUAACCUAAACAAUUAAUAAGUCAGGUCAAGGUGUAGCUAACUGAGAUGGAAGAAAUGGGCUACAUUUUCUAUUCUAGAAAUAACCACGGAAGGAGACCAUGAAACAGGUCCCACAAGCAGGAUUUAGCAGUAAACUGGAAACAGCGAGCCCAAUUUAAGCCGGUCCUGAGGUGCGCACACACCGCCCGUCACCCUC
RNAcentral lists this ribosomal RNA (440 nucleotides) under Chelonia mydas (Green sea turtle). RNAcentral describes it as "partial 12S ribosomal RNA". It matches the Rfam family "Bacterial small subunit ribosomal RNA", at positions 769 to 1404 of the family's 1533-position model. The record is from RNAcentral. Lineage: Eukaryota; Metazoa; Chordata; Testudines; Cheloniidae.